GAUGAACGCUGGCGGCGUGCCUAAUACAUGCAAGUCGAGCGAACGGACGAGAAGCUUGCUUCUCUGAUGUUAGCGGCGGACGGGUGAGUAACACGUGGAUAACCUACCUAUAAGACUGGGAUAACUUCGGGAAACCGGAGCUAAUACCGGAUAAUAUUUUGAACCGCAUGGUUCAAAAGUGAAAGACGGUCUUGCUGUCACUUAUAGAUGGAUCCGCGCUGCAUUAGCUAGUUGGUAAGGUAACGGCUUACCAAGGCAACGAUGCAUAGCCGACCUGAGAGGGUGAUCGGCCACACUGGAACGGAGACACGGUCCAGACUCCUACGGGAGGCAGCAGUAGGGAAUCUUCCGCAAUGGGCGAAAGCCUGACGGAGCAACGCCGCGUGAGUGAUGAAGGUCUUCGGAUCGUAAUACUCGGUUAUUAGGGAAGAACAUAUGUGUAAGUAACUGUGCACAGCUUGACGGUACCUAAUCAGAAAGCCACGGCUAACUACGUG
Molecule: ribosomal RNA, 497 nt
Filed under: uncultured bacterium
Lineage: Bacteria
Description: partial 16S ribosomal RNA
Rfam family: Bacterial small subunit ribosomal RNA
Source: RNAcentral